GGCCUUUAGCACCACUAAGUAUUAAAGGUCCCGCCUGCCCAGUGAAUCCCCCUUUUAAACGGCCGCGGUAUCCUAACCGUGCGAAGGUAGCGUAAUCACUUGUCUCUUAAAUGAGGACUAGUAUGAACGGCUUAAUGAGGGCCCAACUGUCUCCUAUGGCCAAUCAAUGAAACUGAUCUUCCAGUACAAAAGCUGGAAUACACCCAUAAGACGAGAAGACCCUGUGGAACUUUAAAUCAUAUCACUAAUAUAUAUACCACGAACUAACAUCUACAUAGUGAUCAUUUUUAGUUGGGGCGACUAUAGAACACAAAAAAACUUCUACGAUAUAAGGCUAACCCCGUAUAAGGCUAACACGCCAAAAACACUAAACCAACUGACCCAGUACUACUGACCAACGAACCAAGCUACCCCAGGGAUAACAGCGCCAUCCUCUUCUAGAGCCCAUAUCGCCAAGAGGGUUUACGACCUCGAUGUUGGAUCAGGACACCCAGGUGGUGUAGCCGCUGCCAAAGGUUCGUUUGUUCAACGACUAAAGUCCU
This 542-nucleotide ribosomal RNA is filed under the name Haemodracon trachyrhinus. Its description in RNAcentral is "partial 16S ribosomal RNA". It matches the Rfam family "Bacterial large subunit ribosomal RNA", at positions 1817 to 2597 of the family's 2925-position model. Lineage: Eukaryota; Metazoa; Chordata; Lepidosauria; Squamata; Phyllodactylidae. The record is from RNAcentral.